This 216-nucleotide long non-coding RNA is filed under the name Bos taurus (domestic cattle). RNAcentral describes it as "long non-coding RNA NONBTAT014161". Lineage: Eukaryota; Metazoa; Chordata; Mammalia; Artiodactyla; Bovidae. The record is from RNAcentral.
AAAAAAUCAAGCCAAGGUUUAUUGAACACUAUUUAAAGUGUAAUUUUAUUUUACCAAGCUUUAUAGUGGUUGGUUAAAUAAUACUUGUGAGAAACUAACUUUAAUAAUUUAUAAAGCGUUUUUCUUUAGAACAUUUUUAUAAUCGAAAUAGAGCAAAACUAAAAAAACAGUUGAGUGUUUUAGUAAUGAGAGUAUUUUUAUACCAUAGUAUAGGAG